UGGGGAAUCUUGGACAAUGGGCGCAAGCCUGAUCCAGCCAUGCCGCGUGAGUGACGAAGGUCUUCGGAUUGUAAAGCUCUUUUGGCGGGGACGAUAAUGACGGUACCCGCAGAAUAAGCCCCGGCUAACUUCGUGCCAGCAGCCGCGGUAAUACGAAGGGGGCUAGCGUUGUUCGGAAUUACUGGGCGUAAAGCGCACGUAGGCGGAUCUAUAAGUCAGGGGUGAAAUCCCGGGGCUCAACCUCGGAACUGCCUUUGAUACUGUAGAUCUCGAGUCCGGAAGAGGUGAGUGGAAUUCCUAGUGUAGAGGUGAAAUUCGUAGAUAUUAGGAAGAACACCGGUGGCGAAAGGCGGCUCACUGGUCCGGUACUGACACUGAGGUGCGAAAGCGUGGGGAGCAAACAGGAUUAGAUACCCCAGUAGUCCCUGAGCGGGCUGGCAAGGCGCAU
RNAcentral lists this ribosomal RNA (448 nucleotides) under uncultured bacterium. Its description in RNAcentral is "bacterial SSU rRNA". It matches the Rfam family "Bacterial small subunit ribosomal RNA", at positions 355 to 825 of the family's 1533-position model. The record is from RNAcentral.